GGGGCAGACUGGAUUUGACAGCGGGCCGGAAUGGUAUGUAAGCACGCAGUGAGCCUGGGAGUGGUCACUUUAAUCACGGCUUCCAACAAUUUAACUGGCAACAACAGCUAUGCUCUCGCUGCCUAAACGAAGAACAGUAGUUUAGAAGCUUAAUCGCGGUGCAAGGCACUGCGACGAGACGUCACCCCGAAGCUCAUGCCCUGAAGCUCACGGAAACGGUGGCGCAGAAAAUCAGGGAUAAGCGCCGCGCGCCCCAGCGCAGCGACGAAAACACAAAGGGGAUAAGGUCGCAGGCAGGUAGCACCUCUCUGGCCUACGACACGAAAAAUGCAGAGGAGCUAAGCGUGUAGAAAGCAUAUGGUUUCCCCGUUUGGACGAGGGUUCGAAACCCUCCUGCUCCACA
This 403-nucleotide transfer-messenger RNA is filed under the name uncultured Alloprevotella sp. It matches the Rfam family "transfer-messenger RNA". Rfam says of the family: Bacterial tmRNA, also known as 10Sa RNA or SsrA, is named for its dual tRNA and mRNA-like properties. Its role is to liberate the mRNA from a stalled ribosome. The record is from RNAcentral. Lineage: Bacteria; Pseudomonadati; Bacteroidota; Bacteroidia; Bacteroidales; Prevotellaceae.